GCAUUUAAACCAGUCAUAUCAGGCCUAAAUAUUCUACCUGUUUUAUGUUCAAACUGGGAAGAUCUGGCUUCUCACACCUAACUUACAAUGUCAUUCUAAAAAUAUACAAUCACAUCAUUAAAAACACAAAGCUACAAGGUAAUGCAUGGUUAAUUCAAAACAAU
Long non-coding RNA from Octopus sinensis (East Asian common octopus), 164 nucleotides. RefSeq lists it as uncharacterized. Lineage: Eukaryota; Metazoa; Mollusca; Cephalopoda; Octopoda; Octopodidae. The record is from RefSeq and is a predicted model, not a curated record. The transcript has 4 exons.